GGGUGAGUAACACGUGGGCAACCUGCCCAAAAGAGGGGGAUAACACUUGGAAACAGGUGCUAAUACCGCAUAACCAUAGUUACCGCAUGGUAACUAUGUAAAAGGUGGCUAUGCUACCGCUUUUGGAUGGGCCCGCGGCGCAUUAGCUAGUUGGUGGGGUAAAGGCUUACCAAGGCAAUGAUGCGUAGCCGAACUGAGAGGUUGAUCGGCCACAUUGGGACUGAGACACGGCCCAAACUCCUACGGGAGGCAGCAGUAGGGAAUCUUCCACAAUGGGCGAAAGCCUGAUGGAGCAACGCCGCGUGGGUGAAGAAGGUCUUCGGAUCGUAAAACCCUGUUGUUAGAGAAGAAAGUGCGUGAGAGUAACUGUUCACGUUUCGACGGUAUCUAACCAGAAAGCCACGGCUAACUACGUGCCAGCAGCCGCGGUAAUACGUAGGUGGCAAGCGUUAUCCGGAUUUAUUGGGCGUAAAGGGAACGCAGGCGGUCUUUUAAGUCUGAUGUGAAAGCCUUCGGCUUAACCGGAGUAGUGCAUUGGAAACUGGGAGACUUGAGUGCAGAAGAGGAGAGUGGAACUCCAUGUGUAGCGGUGAAAUGCGUAGAUAUAUGGAAGAACACCAGUGGCGAAAGCGGCUCUCUGGUCUGUAACUGACGCUGAGGUUCGAAAGCGUGGGUAGCAAACAGGAUUAGAUACCCUGGUAGUCCACGCCGUAAACGAU
This 719-nucleotide ribosomal RNA is filed under the name uncultured bacterium. Its description in RNAcentral is "bacterial SSU rRNA". It matches the Rfam family "Bacterial small subunit ribosomal RNA", at positions 104 to 810 of the family's 1533-position model. The record is from RNAcentral.